AUGAAAUCCAGCUACUGUCCCCUGCUUGUGAGGUGCUUUUCCUCUGGAUCCUCCACCAAACACGGCAGCAUUCAGAGCCUGCAAGAAGGAUCCUUAUGGAGUGUUUUUUUGCACCCUUCACGUUGCCUGCCUGCACUGAUGGUACAUCUCCUAGAACUCCAUGUGUAUACUGCUGAUCCUUGGUUUUCCCAGGAUAAGGCAAUACAAGCCUUCUUGUUGGAAAUGCCUGGAAAUGUGUACAAAACACUCACCAAAAGCGUUCAGAAUGAAGACUCAGCACAAUUUCAGUGCUGGCAUGCGAAUGCAGACUCCUGUUUCCUGCUUCCUUUGCAGCCCUGGCAGCCUGUGUGUGGAGUGUGUCAGCCAAGAUCAUGCUUAGUUCCUCACCUUGAUGAUAUUGAGCUUGUCACAGCCAGCUUUUCCACAUGCAUAUCUUUCUCUUGGAUUUAUGUGGCAAGAGGCAGAAGUUAAGUGGCCAGCAAUGCCUUCCUCAGGAUGUCAGGAUGCUUUUUUAGGCCAGAGAGAACCUUUGGUCUCCUGCAUAGCAAGAGCGUGACAGAGUCGCUGAGCUAUCAAAUCAGUUAUUCUGCCAACAUCUUUCUGGUUCACUGAGGAGUAAAUUAAUCCCACCUAAGAGUGCUCCAGCAGCAGAGGGAGAGAGAGCACACACACUGCCCUGCUCGGGCAGCGAGGUGCUCGCCAGGAGUGUAAGUCAUGGAUAAAUAAUUCCUUUUCUUUGGGAAACCUUCAAGGACCUACUUCUCGAAGCGCUUCCACACACAUGGUGGGACAGCUGUAGCAAGGCAGCUUCGCCGGGGGAAGAAAACAAGCCCUGGGGCAGGUGCAGCAGCUCCACCGUGGAUCUCCACAGUCCACCACGGUCCUGGGAUGUCUGGGACUGGCACCAGCUUCUGGGUCAGCGCUGGUCAGAAGGUGGUGGUGAGGGAGCUGCUCCAGCAGAAAGCGUUGGGACAGGCCUUAGACCACCCUCAUCACUUGGAAAGGAGGGAGUGAGUCUCUGGCACGAUGUCACCAAUCCUUCUGCCCCCCAAAAGCUUUACUUAGCAAAGUCCAGAAGCUCCAAUGAGAAAAUAAGAGAGGUACAACACGUGGUUGUACCCCAAAUCUGUGCCUCCAGUUCCAGCUGUUACAAUGAACUGCAAACCCAUGUAUUUUCUGUGUGAUUUCUCCCAAGUUGAUCCUCUUUUUUUACCCUGUUCUUACGUCUUUCCUGGUUUCCACAUAUGUUUUUGAUCUUUUCAUUGCUUUACUGCAAUAAUGUACCUCCAACUGCUCCAGUGUUGUCCUCAGUUGCCCUAAGGCAGUAAAUGCUUUGCCACAGGAGUAUGUGCAACCCUGGGAAGGACCAAGAUUUCUGUUAAAGACCCAUCUGGUCAUAAAGUGAGUGUUUAUCUAAACCCCAGAUUAUUCAGGUUUUCUGGGCAUUUUCUGCCUAGAUCUCUACUGUAAGUGGCUGUUGCAUUUGUUCACGAACUAAACGUACAUUAUUCCUGGCAGCCCUCAUAAUGAGCUCUCCACACAAAUGACCUCUUGGAAGCUCUGUGACUCCUGCAAAACAUAAGAAAAUUGAAAAUCUGUAUUUGCAAGGUCAGAAGUAAAACAAAAACCUCCUUUUGGCUGUCUCAAAGUAAAGCCAUACAAAGUAAAGACCUCACUGAACAGCAACUUAAAAUAAAUACAAUUUCCUUUGCCAUAAUAAAUGUUUCAGUAUAAAGUUGAAUAUAUAAUUCAUUCCACUUAGCUGUAACAUUUUGCUAAACAUCAGGAAUUUCAAGGGAACAACUUCAGUUUCUUACAGGCUUUAACUGCUCUCUUGAAAACCUUUUGGAGAAGAAAAAUGUGCCCUGGGAUGGCUUUUAAGCAUUUAUUUGGUUCAUUGUUGAGAUCUGACUUUCUUCAACAACAUAUAAAUUGUUUCUGUGACCUUAAUAGAAAUCUGAAGCUCUAACUAGCUUUUAGAAUUUCACCUCAUGGACCAGAUCCUUGGCUGCCAUCCUGCCUACUUUGGUCUGCUCAGGAGGAAUUUGGGGAAUGUAUGAAGUGUUUUAACGGCAGCGACAAAUUAAGGUUUUCUUUCAGCUCAAGAGUGAGCUACAAUUAGGACAUGAUUGUUGUAAGGAGAAAAAACCCUCUCAACUGAAGUGUUUCCAAGCUACUCAUCACUUCCUAGUGUCUCUCCUUAUGGAAAUUCAUCUAGUCCUGUGAUACUGAUCUUGUAAACAAAUACUUUCUUUCCUUACCUCCUGUGAUAAAAUUCAUGCUUGAUAUUUCUUUAGGAACUCCUUGGCCCCUUCUUGUCUUUUUUCAGAUUGGGAAAUGUGAAGAAAAAAGAAAAAGGAUUUUUUUUUUAAUAUCUCAGUUUGGAUCACUCAUCCGUAUAAUGACUUUAAAAAUCCCACAAAAACAUCAACAAGAAGGUGAAUUGAAAUUGAAUUUAAUAAUUCCUUCUGAACAUUUUUUUUUUUAUUAAAGAAUAACUGUAUGGCAGAGCAAUAGCAGAUACUUGGGCCAAAUGCUUGUUGUCAGAAUAUACCAUUAGGGAAAAAGUGAUGUAGUGCUAGGGGAAUAUGUUUAAUUUUUUUGUGUCUGUGUAUAUCUGGAUAAGGAACCUGGCAGACAGCUCCCCUUAAAUCCAGUCAUCAGCCCACCCUCGGUGUUCAGCACUGCUGAUUGUGUUAUUUGUGCAGGUAUUAUACAAAAGGAUGCACAACUUCCACGUUAUUUUUUUGUUUGAGGGGACUUAGAAAUCCGCUACUGUUUGGAGUGCUUUGUAAUGCACAUUCCCUUCACGGAUGUGGGAAUAGAUCCAUUCUUGCUGGUCUAAAUUGAAACUUCCUCCAGUUUCCCUGUACCGGCACUGCUGCACAGAGUGUUUCCCUGGAGAGGAACUAAUGGAGUAAAUGCUUUGUACUUGCUCAUGAGUUCCAAAGUCCCUUUGCUGCCGCCUUCAUGCCAUGAAUUCAGUGUGUUUGAUACGAGGCACAGCUGCCUCACCCAGAGGAAAACUACCUUCGUAUGUAGGCUCUGGCAUUCCUGUCAUACAUUCGUGUUCCUUUUGGGAAGGGUUGACAGGUUUUAACUCUUCCUGAGAGACCACAGCUCUGGACGCUGAUUCUGGAAACUCCAGAGGUUUAAUGUAAAGCCCUCUGUGGGUGUAUUGUGUGUGUGUGUGUCUUCUCACUUACCAAAAUGAGGAUGGAGAUGCUCCAGGCUGCCUUUUGUAGUGGAGCUCUACUUCUACCCGAGCUGCUGUUUAAAGCGCUGUGCAGGUGUGGAUUUAACUCUUCAUGUGGAUACCACCACUUACUUGAUCAGAAAGGAACGAAAGCAAUUCAGCUUUUAUCAAAAUUAAAUGCCCGUCGGGUGGCUUGGUGACCUCCCCAUUCUGUGUUCACAUCACUGCCCCAAGGCUGCCAGAGCUCAAGGAGCAUUUGGACAACACUCUCAGGCAUAUGGUGGAAUUUUGGGGGGUGUCCUAUGCAGGGCCAGGAGUUGAACUCUGAUAAUCCUUGUGGGUUCCUUCCAACUCAGGAUAUUCCGGGGUUUUGUCGAAGAGACCGAGGCAGCUGUUUGCUAUGACAUUUCACACGUGUCCCCAGCCCUUCCCGGCGCUCUGCGCGGCAGGCACGGCGUUAUUCCACGUCCCGGCGGUCCCCUGUGGCGGGCUGUUCCGCAUCGCGGCGGUGCGGGGCUCGAUGUGCGCGGUGCCUCCCGCGGGUCCCUUCCCGGGCGGGCGCAGCUGCCCCGCGGCCGCGGUGACGAUCGCGACCCGGCGCACGCGCGGUCUGCGUGUGCGCCCCCCCCCCCGCACGCGGCCGGGGCCGCCGUGACGUCACGAGAUGCCCACGGUGUGUGUCCCCCCUUCCCGCGCGCGGCCGGAGCUGCUGUGACGUCACGAAGUGCCCGGUGCGUGUGUGUCCCCCCCCCGCCGCAUCCCGCUCCCCUCCCUCCCCGCACGCGGCGGGGGCC
Molecule: long non-coding RNA, 3990 nt
Filed under: Corvus moneduloides (New Caledonian crow)
Lineage: Eukaryota; Metazoa; Chordata; Aves; Passeriformes; Corvidae
Description: lncRNA (ENSCMUG00000017066.1)
Source: RNAcentral